GUGGGAGCCCUCGGCAGGGUGGACCAUACUCCCCAGGAGGCUGGCACUUCCCUGGGUUCAUGAAGACAGAGCCUCCCGCACAGUGGUGCAGCAGCUCCGCUUCCUCCCUCAGCCCUUCCUGAUGGCUUCCUGGGCAUACUGGAUUCCCUUGGGGAGAUGAGGAGGGCAGAGGGAAGGAGGGGCAGGCUGGGUCCUGGGUUAGGGGGCGCUCGGGCUGGGGUCCCUAGAGAGAAGUUCCUGCCUCCAGGGGGUCGAUCAGGCAAGCGUCUUUUCUGUCCACAUACCAGGGGUCCCAGGCAGAGGCAGGUGGGGGAACGGAAAGGAGAGGAGUUGUGUCCUGUCCUCCCCAGUCCUCCAUACUGGGUGGGGGCUGAGGGGUCCUCUCCAGAGCAUGGCCAGGCAGUGACUCUGGUGUGGGGUUGUCGGACGUUGCGGACUGGCCUGGGGGGUGCUGUGUUUCGGGCAGGCCCAGACCUUGACCUUCCUUGCAGGGGUGAGGCCCUGAGAAGCUGAGCUGCUGGUGGUACUCGAAGAGGUCUCCAGGGCAGGGGGAUGGGGAUUAAUCGAGUGGCCUGGGUGGGGUCCGACCCUUCUGCCACUCAGGGUUUGGCAUCUCUUGCUGAUCCCGUGCCCAGGUUCUGCCGGGGUACACACAAUGCUCCGGGCCCACUGCCUGGGCUCCCCGCCUCGUUUCCAGGGGGUUGGGUGGUGCUCCAAGCCUCAGUUUCCCCACUGUGGAGGGGAUGCUGCUGGAGGGAUGAGGAGCAUAGAGCACAGCCUGGCAGCUUCAGUGCCCGCUGCCCCUGCGGACCUGGGCUGUGGGACGGGCAGGCUUCCCCAUCAGGGCUGGGCCUGCCAGGGGCACAGCACCCUCACAUGCCCACACUGGGGGCUCCGUGGCUCUGUGACUCCGUGGCUUGGUGGUGCUGCCUGCACUUCUCAGGGCUGGAAGCUGCCUUUCCCCGCCAGCCUUUGGUUUCUAUCUCAGUCAUCCCUGCCCUGGAGCACAGACCUCCCACUGAGGGAACCCUCCCCACAGAGGGCCAGAGGGCAGACAAUGGCAGCCUUGAGAGCCCCAGGAGAAGCAGAAUGCACUGACAGUGCCGUCCUCAGCGGUAUACGUCCUCGGGGGGAGUACGGCUCUGUGCUUACUCCACGUCAGUCCCCAGGAGCUGCCAGCAGGUACCGGCCUGCCCUGCUGCACAGUGAGCCUGCAGCCUGUCGUGGAUGCCCAGGGAGGGUGUGGUUUGUCCACCGGUGA
This 1261-nucleotide long non-coding RNA is filed under the name Rhinopithecus bieti (black snub-nosed monkey). RNAcentral describes it as "lncRNA (ENSRBIG00000046731.1)". The record is from RNAcentral. Lineage: Eukaryota; Metazoa; Chordata; Mammalia; Primates; Cercopithecidae.